RNAcentral lists this ribosomal RNA (253 nucleotides) under uncultured bacterium. Its description in RNAcentral is "partial 16S ribosomal RNA". It matches the Rfam family "Bacterial small subunit ribosomal RNA", at positions 524 to 776 of the family's 1533-position model. The record is from RNAcentral.
UACGGGGGGGGCAAGCGUUGUUCGGAAUUACUGGGCGUAAAGGGCUCGUAGGUCGCCAACUAAGUCAGACGUGAAAUCCCUCGGCUUAACCGGGGAACUGCGUCUGAUACUGGAUGGCUUGAGUUUGGGAGAGGGACGCGGAAUUCCAGGUGUAGCGGUGGAAUACGUAGAUAUCUGGAGGAACACCGGUGGCGAAGGCGGCGUUCUGGACUGCAACUGACACUGAAAAACGAAAGCCAGGGGAGCAAACAGG